RNAcentral lists this ribosomal RNA (506 nucleotides) under uncultured bacterium. RNAcentral describes it as "partial 16S ribosomal RNA". It matches the Rfam family "Bacterial small subunit ribosomal RNA", at positions 30 to 523 of the family's 1533-position model. The record is from RNAcentral.
AUUGAACGCUGGCGGCAUGCUUUACACAUGCAAGUCGAACGGCAGCACAGAAGAGCUUGCUCUUUGGGUGGCGAGUGGCGGACGGGUGAGUAAUGUCUGGGAAACUGCCCGAUGGAGGGGGAUAACUACUGGAAACGGUAGCUAAUACCGCAUAACGUCGCAAGACCAAAGUGGGGGACCUUCGGGCCUCACACCAUCGGAUGUGCCCAGAUGGGAUUAGCUAGUAGGUGGGGUAAUGGCUCACCUAGGCGACGAUCCCUAGCUGGUCUGAGAGGAUGACCAGCCACACUGGAACUGAGACACGGUCCAGACUCCUACGGGAGGCAGCAGUGGGGAAUAUUGCACAAUGGGCGCAAGCCUGAUGCAGCCAUGCCGCGUGUAUGAAGAAGGCCUUCGGGUUGUAAAGUACUUUCAGCGGGGAGGAAGGCGGUGAGGUUAAUAACCUCGCCGAUUGACGUUACCCGCAGAAGAAGCACCGGCUAACUCCGUGCCAGCCGCCGCCGUAA